Molecule: ribosomal RNA, 497 nt
Filed under: uncultured bacterium
Lineage: Bacteria
Description: partial 16S ribosomal RNA
Rfam family: Bacterial small subunit ribosomal RNA
Source: RNAcentral
GACGAACGCUGGCGGCGUGCCUAAUACAUGCAAGUUGAGCGCUGAAGGUUGGUACUUGUACCAACUGGAUGAGCAGCGAACGGGUGAGUAACGCGUGGGGAAUCUGCCUUUGAGCGGGGGACAACAUUUGGAAACGAAUGCUGAUACCGCAUAAAAACUUUAAACACAAGUUUUAAGUUUGAAAGAUGCAAUUGCAUCACUCAAAGAUGAUCCCGCGUUGUAUUAGCUAGUUGGUGAGGUAAAGGCUCACCAAGGCGAUGAUACAUAGCCGACCUGAGAGGGUGAUCGGCCACAUUGGGACUGAGACACGGCCCAAACUCCUACGGGAGGCAGCAGUAGGGAAUCUUCGGAAAUGGACGAAAGUCUGACCGAGCAACGCCGCGUGAGUGAAGAAGGUUGUCGGAUCGUAAAACUCUGUUGGUAGAGAAGAACGUUGGUGAGAGUGGAAAGCUCAUCAAGUGACGGUAACUACCCAGAAAGGGACGGCUAACUACGUG